This 274-nucleotide ribosomal RNA is filed under the name uncultured bacterium. RNAcentral describes it as "partial 16S ribosomal RNA". It matches the Rfam family "Bacterial small subunit ribosomal RNA", at positions 523 to 796 of the family's 1533-position model. The record is from RNAcentral.
AUACGGAGGGUGCAAGCGUUACUCGGAAUCACUGGGCGUAAAGCGCGCGCAGGCGGCUUGAUAAGUUGGAUGUGAAAGCCUACGGCUCAACCGUAGAACUGCAUCCAAAACUGUCAAGCUAGAGUCUGGGAGGGGAAGAUGGAAUUAGUUGUGUAGGGGUAAAAUCCGUAGAGAUAACUAGGAAUACCAAAAGCGAAGGCGAUCUUCUGGAACAGUUCUGACGCUGAGGCGCGAAAGCGUGGGGAGCAAACAGGAUUAGAAACCCUAGUAGUCC